This 73-nucleotide transfer RNA is filed under the name Leucobacter denitrificans. RNAcentral describes it as "Leucobacter sp. M1T8B10 tRNA". It matches the Rfam family "tRNA". Rfam says of the family: Transfer RNA (tRNA) molecules are approximately 80 nucleotides in length. The record is from Rfam by way of RNAcentral. RNAcentral also lists the same sequence under 2 other names. Lineage: Bacteria; Bacillati; Actinomycetota; Actinomycetes; Micrococcales; Microbacteriaceae.
GGGUCUUUAGCUCAGUUGGUAGAGCGCGUCGUUCGCAAUGACGAGGUCAGGGGUUCAAUUCCCCUAAGAUCCA